UACGAAGGGGGCUAGCGUUGCUCGGAAUCACUGGGCGUAAAGCGCACGUAGGCGGACUUUUAAGUCAGGGGUGAAAUCCUGGAGCUCAACUCCAGAACUGCCUUUGAUACUGGAAGUCUUGAGUCCGGAAGAGGUAAGUGGAACUGCGAGUGGUAGAGGUGAAAUUCGUAGAUAUUCGCAAGAACACCAGUGGCGAAGGCGGCUUACUGGUCCGGUACUGACGCUGAGGUGCGAAAGCGUGGG
This 243-nucleotide ribosomal RNA is filed under the name uncultured bacterium. Its description in RNAcentral is "partial 16S ribosomal RNA". It matches the Rfam family "Bacterial small subunit ribosomal RNA", at positions 524 to 765 of the family's 1533-position model. The record is from RNAcentral.